This 224-nucleotide long non-coding RNA is filed under the name Mustela putorius furo (domestic ferret). RNAcentral describes it as "lncRNA (ENSMPUG00000031769.1)". Lineage: Eukaryota; Metazoa; Chordata; Mammalia; Carnivora; Mustelidae. The record is from RNAcentral.
GGAAAGAAAGGGAAGAAAAAAAAGAAGGUUCAGCCCAAAUGGGUCCCAAGGUUUUUUUCAUAUUUCAGAGCCAGCAAAGAUAAAAUGUCUCUCAUUAUGGAAUUGGAUACCUAAAAUGUGUGAGCACUGGUGGUGAACACAUGUGAAAUAUCCCCCAAGGACUCAUAUAAAUGCAUGAGAGAAGUUUUCAAGGGCCUGAGGUCUUGCAUUAUACAGGUAUGAAC